UGUCUGUGGUCAGGGUGGCGCUCAUUUGAAAUUAGGCAGCUUCACCCACAGCCGUGCCCGCUACUCCUCUGCACAAAAGAGCCAAGCAGGGGCACAGUACCCACUUUGGGGCACCAGAGCCGUGAUACUUUCACAAAGAUAACUACACCUGUCCGCUCCUUUUAUCUUCUGCGAAAGUAAGUGCAAUCUUUAUGUUGAUCUGGGGGUUAUAGGCUAGGCUACAGCAGCAAAAUAUUGUCAUUUGCAUUGGAACAUGUUUCCCUCUUUUUUCUGGCUUUUAAACUACUGUUAACAUAUUUUACACAGCUGUGAUGCUCAUGUAGCUCUUUAAUGUUUUUAUAUUCAUUAUUGUGUACCAAUAUGUCAAAUUACACAGUGAAGUUGCAUUCUUGGAAAAUAAUCUUUGUUGUCUAUAAUUUGAUUUUAUAUUGUCAUUCUGCAACCAUGUUAAACUGCAUGAGCUACUGCCUGUCUUGGCCAGGACACUCUUGAAAAAUAGAUUUUUAAAUUCAACAAUAAUCUCCUGGUUAAAUAAAAAUGUAAUAAUGUUUACAAAUAGAAACAAUUAUUCUUAAAGCUUUGCAUACAUCACAGUCAGUCUGCCAUGUUCAGAAAUAUGAGCCUGUCAGCAGGGCCGUUUCAGACAGUUUGAAAACCGUUAAGAUCACACCUCCUCUACCAGCGCCGAUGCAGCCAUGCCCCAAACAUCCUCAACAGUAUUUUUGUAAGCCCUUCUCUCUGCCUCAGUCCUCCAGACCCCUGUCUGAAGAUAUUACAAUCUCAUAUUGUAUUAUAGUCUGCACAGAUUAUAAUAUCCAAACUCAAGUCACUUUUAAAGUGUGAAGCAUUUUAUAUCCGAUCAUAUUCAGCCACACUGCUCUGUCUGCAAGGCUGUUUACUACUAAUGGCACAUUAGCAAAGCACCGAUGCCAGAUCAGAACUCUCUCCUGUUUUAAUAAUAAUCAAGACCUGUAUAUGUGUAUUUGGAUAAAU
Molecule: long non-coding RNA, 993 nt
Organism: Anguilla anguilla (European eel)
Lineage: Eukaryota; Metazoa; Chordata; Actinopteri; Anguilliformes; Anguillidae
Exons: 5
Source: RefSeq, a predicted model, not a curated record